UCCAACCGGAAAAUUUUCACAUUUUUCCUUGACACGCGAAAGCUCAAUUAUAACCUGCUGGUGAGGCGCACGUGCUGUGCUUGAGACGUUUAACAGGUGUCGAAAUCGCGAAGGUGUACUAAGGUGUAAUAAGUAUUUUUUUUCAGGCAGAGUUCGAGUAGUUGACCCAUUUGAAUAGCGAUACGAAACUCGCGGAAGAAUCAAAUGAGGCGUUAAUCCAUGUGGAAUUUGAUUCUACGUAUAUCGUUGAUACGAAUAUGUAGCAGCGAGAGAAUAGAUAGAUCGUUUUGAUGAAGAGUCGUUCUCGCGAAACUGCGUGUAACAUGAUAUACGUUUUAUUACUAGGUCACGACGGUUGCCAAGAAAGAUGAGACAUUGCUUACCACUGAGACUCCGAGGAAAAUAUCUACUAGAAUCUCCAACCAAAUUAAUCUACCGUUCAUUGUUCUGCACGAAUUUUUAUCUAUUUUUACAAUUCCAUACACGACAAAGAUUACGAACGCGAUAGAAGCAACGAGAAUUUUGUUUCUUCUCUUUCCUAAAUAAAUGGAAGUCGAAGUUAAUAGUGCAGGAUGUCUAUGUUAUCAAUGGUGCCCUCGCUAACUGCAUCGCUGCAUUGCCGACACACCCCAAUAGUUAGUUUGCAUUUGCGUACGCGUUUUUCGUAAAUGUAUUGGUAUAUCAAUACCUACAUACCUAGCGAGCUCGAGACUUUGUUUCUGCGAUUUUUCCUUUGUUAGUUCAGCCGUUUCGCCCACUUUUUCACUCACGACAAUGGCGUGUCAGUCGAUUUUCAACAUAAAGGUACUGUGCGGGCUGUGGUAGAAGACUGUCGAGAGCGAAUUCCGCUCCAUUUGUCAAUGAUUUUAUUACGGUUUUAGUCAUAGGGCGUUAACUUUUACGUUUUGUGAAUUGUUUGAAAUAAAUGAUAAUUAUAAUACAAGAGUGUACAACAACGUAACUGUUCUAGCUCUAGUUAUUGACGUGAUGUAACGCUGAGUGUGACAGAUUCUUUCGAUGUAUGCAUGCACUAAUGUCACUUAUCGGAGACAAAAACACGACAACGAUGACGACUAAUUUGAUAAGUUAGGAGAGUAGCGGUUUUGAAACGAACAACGGUGACGACGUUAUUAUUUCUUUAUUUCUUUUUCAUUUCGUUCUGUUUUCAUUUUCUGACAAAGUGAUCGACCGUGGAAUCGUGAAAUGUUCAAGUAGAUAAAUCUGAUUGAACAUUGUUUAAUUCAUAACAUCAGAAUUAAUUUU
Molecule: long non-coding RNA, 1263 nt
Organism: Athalia rosae (coleseed sawfly)
Lineage: Eukaryota; Metazoa; Arthropoda; Insecta; Hymenoptera; Athaliidae
Exons: 2
Source: RefSeq, a predicted model, not a curated record